This 402-nucleotide ribosomal RNA is filed under the name Actinomycetes bacterium. Its description in RNAcentral is "Actinobacteria bacterium partial 16S ribosomal RNA". It matches the Rfam family "Bacterial small subunit ribosomal RNA", at positions 355 to 776 of the family's 1533-position model. The record is from RNAcentral. Lineage: Bacteria; Bacillati; Actinomycetota; Actinomycetes.
UGGGGAAUUUUGCACAAUGGGGGCAACCCUGAUGCAGCGACGCCGCGUGAUUUAGAAGGCCUUCGGGUUGUAAAAAUCUUUUGUAUAGGAAGAAAAUGACAGUACUAUACGAAUAAGGUCCGGCUAAUUACGUGCCAGCAGCCGCGGUAAUACGUAAGGACCGAGCGUUUUCCGGAAUCAUUGGGCGUAAAGGGUACGUAGGCGGUUAAAAAAGUUAGAAGUGAAAGGCUAUAGCUAAACUAUAGUAAGCUUUUAAAACUGUUUAACUUGAGAGAUGGAAGGGAAAGUGGAAUUCCUAGUGUAGCGGUGAAAUGCGCAGAUAUUAGGAGGAAUACCGGUGGCGAAGGCGACUUUCUGGCCAGUAUCUGACGCUGAGGUACGAAAGCGUGGGUAGCAAACAGG